RNAcentral lists this transfer RNA (69 nucleotides) under Nothobranchius foerschi. RNAcentral's name for it is "tRNA-Ile". It matches the Rfam family "tRNA". Rfam says of the family: Transfer RNA (tRNA) molecules are approximately 80 nucleotides in length. Their secondary structure includes four short double-helical elements and three loops (D, anti-codon, and T loops). Further hydrogen bonds mediate the characteristic L-shaped molecular structure. tRNAs have two regions of fundamental functional importance: the anti-codon, which is responsible for specific mRNA codon recognition, and the 3' end, to which the tRNAs corresponding amino acid is attached (by aminoacyl-tRNA synthetases). tRNAs cope with the degeneracy of the genetic code in two manners: having more than one tRNA (with a specific anti-codon) for a particular amino acid; and 'wobble' base-pairing, i.e. permitting non-standard base-pairing at the 3rd anti-codon position. The record is from RNAcentral. Lineage: Eukaryota; Metazoa; Chordata; Actinopteri; Cyprinodontiformes; Nothobranchiidae.
GGAGUUAUGCCUNAAUAAAGGAUUACUUUGAUAGAGUAAAAAAUAAGGGUUAAAACCCCUUUAACUCCU